AAGACCGUACUUCCACAGGAUCAUUUUUACAGUACCUUUGUUUCUACUUGGCCUUUCUAGAGAUCGUUUGCUAACCCUUUCCCGCUCAGCGGACGG
RNAcentral lists this small nucleolar RNA (96 nucleotides) under Phytophthora infestans T30-4. Its description in RNAcentral is "small nucleolar RNA U3". Lineage: Eukaryota; Oomycota; Peronosporomycetes; Peronosporales; Peronosporaceae. The record is from RNAcentral.